GAGCCAUUAGACAGUGUGUGUGUAUAGAGUUAUUAGACAGUGUGUGUGUGUGUGUAUAGAGCUAUUAGACAGUGUGUGUGUGUAUAGAGCUAUUAGACAGUGUGUGUGUGUGUAUAGAGCUAUUAGACAGUGUGUGUGUAUAGAGCUAUUAGACAGUGUGUGUGUGUAUAGAGCUAUUAGACAGUGUGUGUGUAUAGAGCUAUUAGUGUGUGUGUAUAGAGCUAUUAGACAGUGUGUGUGUAUAGAGCUAUUAGACAGUGUGUGUGUAUAGAGCUAUUAGUGUGUGUGUAUAGAGCUAUUAGACAGUGUGUGUGUAUAGAGCUAUUAGACAGUGUGUGUGUAUAGAGCUAUUAGUGUGUGUGUAUAGAGCUAUUAGACAGUGUGUGUGUGUGUGUAUAGAGCCAUUAGACAGUGUGUGUGUAUAGAGCUAUUAGACAGUGUGUGUGUAUAGAGCUAUUAGACAGUGUGUGUAUAGAGCUAUUAGACAGUGUGUGUAUAGAGCUAUUAGACAGUGUGUGUAUAGAGCUAUUAGACAGUGUGUGUGUAUAGAGCUAUUAGACAGUGUGUGU
Non-coding RNA from Pelobates cultripes (western spadefoot toad), 569 nucleotides. The record is from the annotation of a GenBank genome assembly. Lineage: Eukaryota; Metazoa; Chordata; Amphibia; Anura; Pelobatidae.